AUUGAACGCUGGCGGUAUGCUUAACACAUGCAAGUCGAACGGUAACAUAGCUAGCUUGCUAGCUGAUGACGAGUGGCGGACGGGUGAGUAACGCGUAGGGAUCUACCUUCUGGUGGGGGAUAGCCCGGUGAAAACCGGAUUAAUACCGCAUAAGACCUAAGGGUGAAAAGGGGCCAAUUCUUGAAAGCUCUUGCCGGAAGAUGAACCUGCGUUAGAUUAGCUUGUUGGUAGGGUAAUGGCCUACCAAGGCGACGAUCUAUAGCUGGUCUGAGAGGAUGAUCAGCCACACUGGAACUGAGACACGGUCCAG
Molecule: ribosomal RNA, 310 nt
Filed under: uncultured bacterium
Lineage: Bacteria
Description: bacterial SSU rRNA
Rfam family: Bacterial small subunit ribosomal RNA
Source: RNAcentral